UGAGCAAUGUGCCCUUGACUCUGGGAUAAGCGCUGGAAACGGCGUCUAAUACCGGAUACGACGACCGGAGGCAUCUCCUGGUCGUGGAAAGAACUUCGGUCAAGGAUCAGCUCACGGCCUAUCAGUUAGUUGGUGGGGUAACGCUCACCAAGGCGACGACGGGUAGCUGGUCUGAGAGGAUGGCCAGCCACAUUGGGACUGAGACACGGCCCAGACUCCUACGGGAGCAG
This 230-nucleotide ribosomal RNA is filed under the name uncultured bacterium. RNAcentral's name for it is "partial 16S ribosomal RNA". It matches the Rfam family "Bacterial small subunit ribosomal RNA", at positions 118 to 347 of the family's 1533-position model. The record is from RNAcentral.